RNAcentral lists this small RNA (102 nucleotides) under Microcebus murinus (gray mouse lemur). RNAcentral's name for it is "Y RNA (ENSMICG00000047881.1)". The record is from RNAcentral. Lineage: Eukaryota; Metazoa; Chordata; Mammalia; Primates; Cheirogaleidae.
UUUUGGAGCGAGCACAGGGGUAUUCACAACUAAUUAACCACAACCAGUUACAGAUUCUUUUGUUCCUUCUCCACUCCUUCUGCUUCAUUUGACCAGCCUAAA